GUCUGGGGAGGAGUUUUAAAGGGGUUUCUAAGAUAGGAAAGCGUGAAGUCUUAUUAUUGUACAGAAAGAUUGUAUCUACUCAGAGGGAUGAGAGUAAUCACAAAUACACAGUGGUUAUUACACCCAUUAUAUAGAAAAUGAAACUGAGGCUCAGAAACCUCAUAUAGUUCCCCUAGAGAUACACAAUUGUUAGUGCUGAAAUGUGAACUCAAACCUUCAGACGUGAAGCUGGAAAUGAAUUUCCUUGGCUUCGAUGUCUCCAUCUCAAAAAUGACUGUAUUUUUGGGAAGGUUGCUUCAGAGUCCACGUUCUAUUGGCCAUUCCACUGAUUCCGCAUCUCCUUGACAAAUGAAUCUUGGGCCAAAAGUUCAUUGUGGGGACGCUGUUCAGUAGUUCCAUGAGAGCAGGAAGCAGAUCUAUCUUACUGAGGACACUCCUGGUGCCAAACUAUCUGGGGAAGAGGAAACCAAGAAUCCAGUGCAGUCUUAGAAGAUGGGGGAGUUGCUAAUGGAAGGAACCAGGUCUCUGAAAGACUUCAUAGAACACAGUACCACACUUUGUGACAUCCCCUGACAACCUCAUUAGACUGUGACAUAGGCAAGAAAUAAAUCUUGGUUGUGUUUGCCCCUGAAAUUCCAGGGCUGUUUGUUACAAUGGUUAACCUCUUCUGACAAAUUUCAUAAAAUUCCAUUUACCCUCGCUUUUCCUCACUACAUAUUAUUCAGUUUAAGAUUCGGUUCACUGUCCUCCAGGAAGCCUUCCUUGACUUCCCUGUGGCUGGCUUUUGUGUUCCCAUGGCACCAUGUGCACUGUUUCAUCAGGUACUAACCACGUUGUAUUAUAUACUGUCUCCCUCAUGUGACUAAGUUUUUCCUGAGGUCAGAAACUAUCUAUUUUU
RNAcentral lists this long non-coding RNA (898 nucleotides) under Homo sapiens (human). RNAcentral describes it as "HSALNT0280306". Lineage: Eukaryota; Metazoa; Chordata; Mammalia; Primates; Hominidae. The record is from RNAcentral.